UGCCCAGGGAUGGGAAUCGAACCCACAUUGUUCCGCUUACCGGGCAGAUGCCAUGUCCACUAGGCUACCCUGGAC
RNAcentral lists this transfer RNA (75 nucleotides) under Cordylochernes scorpioides. RNAcentral's name for it is "tRNA-Thr". The record is from RNAcentral. Lineage: Eukaryota; Metazoa; Arthropoda; Arachnida; Pseudoscorpiones; Chernetidae.